This is a long non-coding RNA of Mauremys reevesii (Reeves's turtle), 668 nucleotides long. RefSeq lists it as uncharacterized. NCBI's taxonomy places the organism in Eukaryota, Metazoa, Chordata, Testudines, Geoemydidae. The record is from RefSeq and is a predicted model, not a curated record. The transcript is spliced from 3 exons.
GGAGAAGGGAUUUCAACUCCCAUCUCUCAGAUGCCAUGGGCCAGUGAGAGAGAAAGAGAGUGAGAAUGACUCUGAAGCCUUGUCAUUAGGGCUAGGAGGUGGGAGAUCCAGGGUGUAGUCUCCAUGCUCCAAUCACUCUUUCAGUAUUUAUCCAUAGUGGAACAGCUUCAACAAGAGAGACUCGGAGACCCCCACACCAAAAGAUCCCGUAGCCCACUGGUUAGAGUGCUCACCUGAAAAGACUUCUGUGCAAAUCCCUUUUCCCCUUCUGGCAGAGGUGGGAAUUGAGUGAAUCUGGAUCUCCCACAUCCCAGUUCCAAUCCAUUCUUCAUUGGAGGAUGGGAGGAGGGGAAGAGCCAGGAGAUGGGAUGGUGGGGGAGUUCAGUUUCUUCUGUCUCCUGAAAAAGGAAGAGAGGCUGAAUUCAAGGCUGGUGUGAAGUUGCUUCAUUGGCUCCCCAAGGUCUGAAAUUUAGAAUCCACAGGCUUCAUUCUUAACCAGCUGAAGCAAGAAGGUGGGUCCAAGGGCAUUAUCACCUUGUGUCCUGAACAGCCAUGAUGCUUUGGGCAAAGCCACUAUUUUAAUGUGAAAAAGUUUUUUAAUCCAUUGGACCAUAUGUGCAUUGAAGCAAUAUUCAUACACCUUUUUUAAUAAAGGUCAACCUAAAGUC